CGACUGUGUUCUGUUGUCGUCGCA
Molecule: non-coding RNA, 24 nt
Filed under: Arabidopsis thaliana (thale cress)
Lineage: Eukaryota; Viridiplantae; Streptophyta; Magnoliopsida; Brassicales; Brassicaceae
Source: RNAcentral